GACGAACGCUGGCGGCGUGCUUAACACAUGCAAGUCGAACGAUGAAGCUCUAGCUUGCUGGGGUGGAUUAGUGGCGAACGGGUGAGUAACACGUGAGUAACCUGCCCUUUACUUCGGGAUAAGCUUGGGAAACUGGGUCUAAUACCGGAUAUUCUGCGUGAUCGGAUGGUUGUGUAGGAAAGAUUUUUUGGUAAGGGAUGGGCUCGCGGCCUAUCAGUUUGUUGGUGGGGUGAUGGCCUACCAAGACGACGACGGGUAGCCGGCCUGAGAGGGCGACCGGCCACACUGGGACUGAGACACGGCCCAGACUCCUACGGGAGGCAACCAGUGGGGAAUAUUGCACAAUGGGGGAAACCCUGAUGCAGCGACGCCGCGUGGGGGAUGACGGCCUUCGGGUUGUAAACCUCUUUCAGUAGGGAAGAAGCGAAAGUGACGGUACCUGCAGAAGAAGUACCGGCUAACUACGUGCCAGCAGCCGCGGUAAUACGUAGGGUACUAGCGUUGUCCGGAAUUAUUGGGCGUAAAGAGCUCGUAGGUGGUUUGUCGCGUCUGCUGUGGAAACGUGCCGCUUAACGGUGCGCGUGCAGUGGGUACGGGCGGACUAGAGUGCAGUAGGGGAGUCUGGAAUUCCUGGUGUAGCGGUGAAAUGCGCAGAUAUCAGGAGGAACACCGGUGGCGAAGGCGGGACUCUGGGCUGUUACUGACGCUGAGGAGCGAAAGCAUGGGGAGCGAACAGGAUUAGAUACCCUGGUAGUCCAUGCCGUAAACGUUGGGCACUAGGUGUGGGGUCCAUUCCACGGAUUCUGCGCCGUAGCUAACGCAUUAAGUGCCCCGCCUGGGGAGUACGGCCGCAAGGCUAAAACUCAAAGGAAUUGACGGGGGCCCGCACAAGCGGCGGAGCAUGCGGAUUAAUUCGAUGCAACGCGAAGAACCUUACCAAGGCUUGACAUGCACUAGACCAUCGCAGAGAUGUGGUUUUCUUUUUGACUGGUGUACAGGUGGUGCAUGGUUGUCGUCAGCUCGUGUCGUGAGAUGUUGGGUUAAGUCCCGCAACGAGCGCAACCCUCGUUCUAUGUUGCCAGCACGUGAUGGUGGGAACUCAUGGGAGACUGCCGGGGUCAACUCGGAGGAAGGUGGGGAUGACGUCAAAUCAUCAUGCCCUUUAUGUCUUGGGCUUCACGCAUGCUACAAUGGCCGGUACAGAGGGUGGCGAUACCGUGAGGUGGAGCGAAUCUCUUAAAGCCGGUCUCAGUUCGGAUCGUAGUCUGCAACUCGACUACGUGAAGUCGGAGUCGCUAGUAAUCGCAGAUCAGCAAUGCUGCGGUGAAUACGUUCCCGGGCCU
Molecule: ribosomal RNA, 1343 nt
Filed under: uncultured bacterium
Lineage: Bacteria
Description: bacterial SSU rRNA
Rfam family: Bacterial small subunit ribosomal RNA
Source: RNAcentral